GCCGACUGCGCUGGCUGGCGGCGCCCCGAGGCGGGCUGCGUUGGCCCGGAGGCUGGCAGACGCACCCGGCAGGCGCUGGGCCCGACCACAUGAAAGGCCGGAGUGCUCCACCCGCCAGCUGUCCCGAGCUGGGUUCUGGCGCCGCCGCCAUGCACCCCAGGACCCGGCCUUCGAAGGGCCACCUUCCUCCCCAGGCCUAGGGAUCGGGCUCACGGUUAAGGAGCUCCAGCCCUGGGGCCGGGUGGCCCACAUGUGGGAGCGCAUUGUUUCCCCUGCCAGGCUCCCAGGCUCCCAGGCUCAAAGACGAAGACGGGCACCAGCUCGGAGGCUCUACUGACCGACCGCUUGUCUCUAAUUCUUGCCUGACACAGACAUUCCUUGCCCAGGGAAGUGUUUGAUUUAUGUUGAGGUUUGAGUGUCGGGAUUUUGCUGACAGGAGAAUCAGAUACCUGUCAGACUGAGAAAGUGUGGAAUAAUUGCUGUGAGCUGCCUCUGUCAAGAACAAGGAGUAAAGACCUCGUCUGCCCUGCUCGCUGCUGCAUCUCCAGCGCUACUUAACAGGGCGGGCUGACAGCCCGGGCUCGGUACACCCGGUAUCGGGGCAGCGUGCCACGCCUUCACACGCACUGUCUCACGUAAUCCUCCCAGCGACCCCGUGAGACAGGCACUUUGCUGAUCCCUGCGUUAGAGCUGAGGACACUGAGGUACGGAGUGAUGAAGUGAGUCACUAAGCCGCAGAGCUUAGAAGUGGUAGCGCUAGAGCUGGGUUUGAUGCAAGAGCAAAGCCUGGUGUCCAACCACUUCUCAGACGUUAUUGGUGGCAGGAGAGCCACUGGGUGCCAGCUGUGACUGCAAAGCGCACUGCAUCCCCAAGGACGGCACAUUUGUCUGCCCGCCUCCUGGAAGGCUGGGAGUUUCUGUCAGCUGUGUUGCAACUCACAGGUAAAGGGCUGUGGAGGUGACUCAUGUUGGCUGGGCUCAGAUGGAGGCUGGGAUUCCAGGCGGCGUGUCUGUGCUCGCUGGACUUUUUUAAAUGGGUCCUCUCUCUGUACUUCUGAGUUUUGUCUCUUUAAUCACCUGCACCCAUCUGCAGAGAUCAGCAGAGGCCCAAGUCAUGGGGCAGAGGGGUCCCGUGUCUCCAAACACGGGAAGGCACCCUGGAUGGGACAGAGGGACUAGUGGUCUAGGAUAGGUGGAUAAGGACACCGGGAGACUAUUUACAAGGUUGCCAGACCCCUCAGCAGGAGCUAGGCCUCCAGUUCCAGCCCUUCAUUAAAUGAAUGAGAGAUGCCAGGGUUUGAGAGAGACACUGCCCCAGCUUUGCUCCUACCCCUUCCAUCCUCCUGUAUAGCACGGGCAUGGCCCAGGGCUAGGCUAGGCUGCAUCUCCUCCCCUCUUUGGAUUGGCCCAAUUCUUGGUAUUUUGGCCGAGGAGAGUGAAAACAGAGGCCAGCUGAUGACCUGUGACAUGCUAAUUACAUAUUCACGGUAGCAACAGUAAUAAUGGUGGCUGUUACUUUGCCCUUCAUGUACGGGAAGCACCGUGCUGAGUUAUCUCCGUUAGCUGGCAGUACCGCUCUGACAUCCCGUUUCACGUCCCGGCCCAACCAUGUCAUGUUGGGCAAAUGACUUAGACUUUCUAAGCCUCCGUUUCCUCAGCUGUAGAGUGAGGGUCAUGUGAGGAUGAAAUGAGAUGGUGCAUGUGAGGUUCACCGGGCAGUCCCUGGCACGUAGCGCUCCAUCGUUGUUAGGAAAGACCUUUUUUUCUCAUGUAAUACUCAUGUAAACUCUGUGAGGAAGCUGUUCCCUCAUUUUACAGAUGCAGAAACUGACUCAGACGGGUUAAAUGACAUCUCAAAAGUGAAAAGCUAGUAAGGAGAAGAGUUGAGAUAUGAACCCACAUCUUCCUGCCUCCAUUCUUGUAGAGCUAGAUGAAUUGAGGGAUUGUCCCAGGUUCAAGUUCUGCCUGACCACUUCUAGCUGUAUGACCGGGUAAUCUCUCUCGGGGCUUGUUUCCCUCCCUCUGAGACAAGAUUAAUGAAUCACUGUAAGGGGGGAGGUGCAUAUCAGAUCAUCUAGGUUUCCUUUUCUAGAUUACUUCUGGAAGAGAAAUGUUCCUCUUCUCGACACACGAUCUGCCCCCUCUGGAAGAUGGCAUGGUCCUUCAUCCCUCCUCCUUUCCAGGAUUAUCUCGAAGAGUGUUACACUCUUGGCAUGUUAGGGAGGAGUAAAGAUUAGGACUACUGAGUUAAGUAUGUGCUAAGAGCAAGGGCUGUUUGUCUGCAAAGGUUGUGCACUGCACAAUCACAGUGCCAUUGUACAGUACAGGACUUGCGCUGUUAGACACUACGGCCCUGCUAACAGUCUUUUUUUUUUUUCUAACACAUUAAGACUUCAUGGUUAUCCAAAACUUAAGGAAAAUCUGUUGACCUACAUAAAAAUAUCAAAAAGGCAAAUUUCAAAAUGUUAAUAGUACUUCUCUAUAGGUGCCAAAAUGACAGAAUUUUAAUUUUUUCCCUAUUUCCUCUCCCCUACCAAGUUUCUGCACUGAUCUUGCGUUGCUUUGUAAUUGGAAAUGCUAUACAAAACGCCAGUUUUGUUUUUAAUAUUUUUAUUUUUUACUUUUUGAAAGUAAUCUCUACACCCAACAUGGGGCUUGAAGUCAUGACCCUGAGAUCAGGGGUCAUAUACCCUACUGACCGAGCCCACCAGGCACCCCUACAAAACCUGUUAUAAUGCCCAUUAACUAAAUGGUCCCCAUGUCCCCAUUCUUCUUGGAGUGAAAGCAGAGAUAGAGUAGUAAAGAUUGGGAGUCCUUUCUCGAGCUUCCUUGUGAAGUGCUUGAACGGAGAAUGGGGGCUGCCCAACUCUCAGGCUCUCAGCAGGGAGCUCAGGAAUCAGCUCUAAUCUUGCCUUCAUUCAAAUUACUAUCAUUUAUCGAGCACUCACCCCAUGAUACUUGCUUAAGAUGCUUUAUCCCAUUCCUCCCUGUCAAAUGGGAUCAUUUAAUCCCCCUGGGAGGACUUGGCUCCUGGAGUACUGCCAAGUUACUAAAGGAUAUCAACUCUGCAGUCAACUACCCAAGACCUUGGACAAGCAGCUUUCUUCCUUGUUACCUGACUUUUGGCCUCGCUGAAGUGAUCACUGUGAGGACUGAAGGAGGGGUCAAACUGCGGGCUUGGAGGGUUCAGAUGGGGGUUUCCUGGAGGAACUACAAGGAAAGUGUCCGAAGCCUGGCGUGGACACAGCCCGGUUUUCCUUCACGGCCUGCCUGUGGUGUGUGCUGAGCUCUGGUCUCACUGGAGAAGGGGGUGGGGAGGGACAGGCUCGGGUCUCCUGGGCGCCGCACCUUCUCAGCAAGACAGAGGCCAUGUAGUCCCAGGAUGUGGGACCCGAGGCGUGAAGAGGCCAGGGAGCUCAAUGGAGUCCUACAGCCCGACUGACCAGGCUGGGAUUCGAACCCGGGACGUUUGGCUCUAAAGCUCAAGCCCCGCACCCCCAAUUCCCCCCCUCCCCGUCCAGGUGGGCAAACUGAGGCCCAGAGAAGUAAAGUGAUUUGCUCAAGGUGAGCGGUGGAGCUGGGACUUGAACCUGGGCCGGAAUGAUCCCAGAACAUCUGGCAGCCACAACUUCAUAUGCACACUUGCUGGAAGCCUUGUUGGGGAAGCCCUGCCUAGACGGUGGUGAGACCCAGAUCUACCCAUCUUUCGUGACAGCUCAGACUCUUUUCGGAAGGCCCACCUGAUCAUCUUGUAGUCCUCCAGCAGCAAAUGCAGCAUCCAGACGCAGCCAGUUGUGAAGAGAACGUUUCCAUAGGAAUUGUGCAAUAUGGCUAUCGUCUCCAGGCCCCAGUCCAGCCCAAGCCACUACCCCUUCUGGCUGGGAAGUUUCUUUCCUCUUCCCUCUUGCAUGAAACUGUUAGGCUCGGCUCAAGCCCACUCCCUUCCCCCUUUCUCUCCUAUCUUCCCUCUUCUCCCCAGCGCCUGGCUCUGCCCUGCUCUGGCUCACCCUUCCCCGGGCAGUGGGUUCCAUACCUCUCCUGGACCCCAAUCGCUCAUGAAUUCUCUAAAGUCAUGACAGGGAAUCCCACAGAUGCGUCCUGGACAACACAGGAAUGCCGAAGAUGUCCCAGGCAGAAAAGGUUCUGGGAGCAAACCAGGUGGGCAAAGUUGCACACCAGACCCUCUUCUUAAAAAUGAACAAUGCACAGGCAAGUCUCUGAAGUCCAGCAAGUCCAGCAGUCAGAAAACCUGUUUUGUUUGCUUUUUCAACUCAGGGUUUCCCAAACUGAGGUGGCCACAUAAUCAUGUUCCCUGUCCCUGCCGCAUACCUGUGACAACAGGAGAACCAGGGACUGCGGAACACACUUUGGGAAAUUCUACCCCCAGCCUUCCACCCAAGUUUGCAGUUCAUCUUGGUUUCAUUGAUUUAAGCCUUUCCUGUUUCUUGGGGCUAAUCUCACAAAAUAAUCUAAGGUGAUGUCUGCCCAGUAGGGUCUUCAAGAAACAUAUACUUGAUGGGGAUGAAGGUUUUCUUAAGACUUGAUGAUGUGAUGCCCAGAAUAGAUCAAGGAAUUUCUAGAAUGUGGAAGGAGGGGGAGUAGAAGUUGAAACAACAGCAGACAGCACUUACCAAAUCUUCAUUUGUUCCCUAGUCAGAGGACCAAAGCCAGGGAUAGAAUGAUCAAACCAGAGUGAAUGAGUGAACAGACUUCCUGACUGGUCAGAAGGUUGGGAGACUGUGAAUGAAUGCCUGCAUGCAUGCAUGAAUGCAUGAAUGAAAAUCAAGCAGCUGGUCCCCAGAUUAGAACCUGCCACCCAUGUUCAAUGGAAGAAGCCAGAUGUAAAAAGAGGACACUAUGAAUGACUCCAUUUAUGUGAAGGUCAACAACAGAUCAAGCUACUCUACUGUGACAAAAACAGAGCUGUGGUUGCCUUUGGGGAGUAGGCAUUGCCUGGAAGGGGCACAAAGGGCUUUUGGGGGAAUAGAAAUAGUCUUGAUCUUGAUUCCGGUGGUAGUUACACGAGUGUAUGCUUUUGUCAGAAUUCACCAAAUUGUACAUUUAAGAUCUGUGCACUUACCUGUAUUGUACGUUUAAUCUAAAAAUAAAAAUCUUACCACUUAGG
Molecule: long non-coding RNA, 5125 nt
Organism: Ailuropoda melanoleuca (giant panda)
Lineage: Eukaryota; Metazoa; Chordata; Mammalia; Carnivora; Ursidae
Exons: 9
Source: RefSeq, a predicted model, not a curated record